AUUGAACGCUGGCGGCAGGCCUAACACAUGCAAGUCGAGCGAGCGGCGGACGGGUGAGUAAUGUAUGGGGAAUGCCAGAUAGCGGGGGAUAACUACUGGAAACGGUGGCUAAUAACGCAUACUAUCGGAUAACCCAGAUGGGAUUAGCUAGUAGGUGGGGUAAAGGCUCAACUAGGGGACGAUCUCUAGCUGGUCUGUGAGGAUGAUCAGCCACACUGGUACUGAGACACGGCCCAGACUCCGACGGAUGCAGAAGUGGGUAAGAUUGCGCAAUGGGCGCAAGCCUGAUGCAGCCAUGCGGCGGGUAUGAAGAAGUCCUUAGGGUUGUAAAGUACUGUCAGCGGGGAGGCGUUACCCGCAGAAGAAGCACCGGCUAACUCCGUGCCAGCAGCCGCGGUAAUUC
RNAcentral lists this ribosomal RNA (403 nucleotides) under uncultured bacterium. RNAcentral's name for it is "partial 16S ribosomal RNA". It matches the Rfam family "Bacterial small subunit ribosomal RNA", at positions 30 to 526 of the family's 1533-position model. The record is from RNAcentral.